RNAcentral lists this long non-coding RNA (37134 nucleotides) under Coffea arabica (coffee). RNAcentral describes it as "long non-coding RNA (CARA_LNC002339)". Lineage: Eukaryota; Viridiplantae; Streptophyta; Magnoliopsida; Gentianales; Rubiaceae. The record is from RNAcentral.
UUUUUUUUUUUUUUUUUGGUACGAUUGAAGAAAAAAUUUUAAAAAAAAAAAGUUAGGAUCCAAUUGAUAAAUAUCUUCCACCGAUCAAAAACCCUACAUAUUCAUUUUCAACGAUCUCUCAAUGGUGGACCAUCUUUUGAGCCCAAACUCUUGAGGAGAAAUUAGAAGCAGCAGACAAAAUGUAUAUUGUGAGAGGUCUCAAAAUUAAAAUCUCUCAGUUAAAUUUCCGAUCCUCGUACCACCCAAUUCAUCCCCCUCCCAACGUAGACAAGUGAUCUCCACUUCAAAAUUCUUGAAGUAAAACCUCCAAGAUUAUGGUCAAUCUUACAUAUAUGCUGUGCAAGUAGCCAUGCAAAAAGGAGAGGUUCCUUUAUGCUUGUUUGGUCUAAACACUAUGGCUAAUUAUCUUCAAGGGAUCAGUAGAGUUGCACUCAUUUUCGUUGCCAGCAUUUCAAAAAUCAAUGAACUCCCAGAACAGCAUUUUAUUCUCGAAUAUCAGCCUCUUAAAUUCCAACACAAAAGAAAAAAAAAAUCAGAUCUAAGUUCAGUAAUACAUUAUCCCUCCAUCCCAAAUUGAAUGUCCUUUCAACAUUCUCCCUGUCCGUCGACAUAUUUUUCAACUUACACAGUCAAAUAUUCUAGAUUUUCCCCUGAUUUUAUGAUUGAUAACCAAUUAGAGGGGGAAAAAGCUUGAAAGUUGAUAGAAGUUAGUAUACCAUAGAUUGUAAAAAGGCCAUUGCAUUGAGGACCAAAGGAAUCUUAAACAUUUUCAUAAAAAAAAGGCCAAAAUUUUGCAAAAACCCUCCGUUCAUAACUAGCAUUUUAGGUCUUCACAAAAGAUUAUGAUACGAAAAAUUCACUGGUAAUCUAUCUAGAGGACAUACCAGCUCAAUAGUCUGUAAAACAAAACAAAGAUGUACAAAGGAAACUCCACCCACUGUUUAUUACCAAAAGUUAAGCAGCUUGAGGGAGGGUGACCUUUCACAUCUCAGGUUGCAUCUUCUCACACUCUUCCCGAAUUGACUGGAAAAGGGCAGUCGACAAGUAUCGCUCUCCAAAGCUUGGGAACACAACCUACAAGUAUACAACCAUCACAUAGUUAAAUCAAACUGCAGAAGUUCAGAUAUUAUUCAACUGGUUUCCCAUGUUAAUCACAUAAUCUAUCAACUCCACAGGCAUUUAUGAGGAGGGUGAAUCGGCCAAUUUAAGACUGGAGGCUGCAGCAGAGGUUACCCUAGCCAUGGUUCAUCUAAUUUCAACCAUGGAACAUGGCCAAGUCAGCUAGAACUAAAUAAGUACGCAUAUAGUUUCUAUCAAUCUACAAAGCCAAUUGGAUGCCAAUACCAGAACAUAUAAUUAUAUUAACGAAGUAGUAAUAGUAGAGAAUGCUUGUUGAGAUCAGAAGUGAAGACUUAGUUCUGUCACCCAAUGUAACUUAGCCAUUAGCCAUCUACAGAUUUAGCAUGAUGACUCUAAAAUAGCUCCAUUAUUCACCUAGUGAUGGAUUCAAAUCUAAUGUUGUUAUCUUUUUCUUUUAUAAAUCUGAACGAGUUCACUUUAUAACUAUUGGAUGAACCCAGAACCAAUGUCCAGCACCGUGAUUGAGAAUUUAUCUUUGAUAAUUACCAAUAAAGACAAGCUUCACCAGAGAGGCUACUUGAAUGUCUAAUAGAAUGUUUCAGACUCUGCAUUUAUCAAGAUUCCAAUCAGAUAUCAACGAAAUGCCAGCUACAGUAAAACAUACCGCAAUAAGCUUUCCCUCAUUCUCAGGUCUCUUCCCAACUUGGAGGGCAGCAGCAGUUGCUGCCCCAGAAGAAAUACCAACCUGGUGGAAGGAGAAUAUUCAGAAUAACAAUGAUGCAAAUACUUAAACAAGUAAGAGAACAGGAUACAGACAUGUUACAGGAAAAAUGAUCAGUCAGCUAUGUCAAAAAGGGAGAACAAAUCACUAAAAAAAUAAUGUAGAAAAUACAACAUAGAUAGGCAUCGUGUACUUUUCAUUGAGUAAAGUAAAAGCAAAAAGAUAGUUUCUUCUUUGGCUAGAUAUUCAUCUGAAGUUCACUCCUAACAUCAUCUGAAUAUCAAUGGUUCUGCAUCAAAUGUGGAUAGCAGAGAAGCUGCACAAGUUCAUUGCAUGGGCAGUUAAAGCGGGUUGCCUAGCUUUGUUAAUUUAAUUUCUUUUAGACAUUGAUGGAGGGGAAGGAACAGGCUAGCCUAAAGGGAUUGAACCAGCUAGUAGCAAACCCAGUUCUAGGACAUAAGGCACAUCAUUGGGCAGUUGAGCAGGUUGCCUAGCUUUUUUCUAAUUUCAUUAUUCAUCUUUAACUUCAUCAUGAAGUCACAAGUAAAAUUAAACAUAUUUUUGCAUCUAAAACUUAUGAGAAAUGUUCAUAAAUCUAGUUCAAAUUCACUUACCAACAAGCCUUCUUGAAGAGCUACUUGCUUUGCUGUUUCAAUGGCUUCACCACUAUCUAUCUGGUGGAAACAAUAAAGUGAACAGCAAUAAGGAACCAAAUAAAAAUAUGGAACCAUGAAGAAGAUGGUCAAAGCAGAUGAACUAGAUAUCAAAUUGCAAGAGAAGAAGUACGUGAUAAAAGAGAAUGGUGGUUCACUAGCAUAAAAAAGCCAUGGAUGGCAAAAAAAGCUACACUCAUCAGUAUAAAGAGACUUAGGAGACCACACAAAUGGAAAACAAGGAAUUUCACAAACAAUGAACCUAAAAUUAAGAGUUCAGCACAUAUUAUCAUUUGAUGGGUGAUGAACUCAAGCCCUUAAACAGGAAACAACACCAACAGAACAAGGGAAUAAGCAAAAUGGUCACACCAUAAUUUCAUGAAUACAGUUGUCACAGUUAACUGCAAGGCCAAGAGCAUAACAUAAUCUCCAAAGAAAAUAUCCUCCAUCAAUGCCACAAUUAGGCAUACAACACUGGUUUAAAUCCUUAAACGCACUUUGAAGGGAGGGUUUUGGAAGUUCAUUUUGUUUCACGUUCACCCUUGUGUUGAUGAUCUCUAGUCUUUUUGUGCAAAUAACAGAAUGUACCCCUAAUUUCCAGGUAAUGGAAGAAACACUCCAGACUAAGUGCAGUUAAACACAAACACUAGAGCUGGUACCAAAUUGGUUAUGCACGCACUACACUUUUAUCAAAUGAUAUCACUUGCAGGGUCUACUCUAGCUUUUCUACAACAUUUUCAAUUUUCUAAAACAAUAUCUUCUGACUUUUUCAAAUGUGCCUCAAGUUUGGACAUCACAAAAAGGAAACUGUGAGAUUAAACUCGGAAAGAGCCAGCAUCAAUUCCCUAAUAAAAGCUUUCAGAAGAAAGCCAUCCAAGGGCAACUCAUGCAUAAUAAAAACUAUUGCAUCCAAAUCUGGGAGCGGAAAUAAUUUUGUUAUCCUCUUUGUCAGCUAGUACCCUCUGAAACUCCAAUAAAGAUUGGAAAAUUACGAAUUGAAAAUGAAAAUAAGUUUCAGAAAGAAAUCCAAAUAUCAACUAGACUAAGCAGUUAAAGACUGGUAGGCCGUCCUGUACUGAAUAGAACAUGGGUAUCAAACAGCAAGCGUUUCAACUUGCAAAGCUCUAUAAAUCAGUUUUGCAUUAUCCCAUUGUUUAAGUGCUCGCACAUAAAUCUGAAAGCAAUUAGUUCUUAGCUGAAAAAACCACAUAGACUUGCCCGUCUCAAAUUUUGUUUUCAGCAGCUAAAUGCUUCCGUUGUAACAAAAAAGAAAAGGACAAAAGUAGUAUUUUCACUUUUUUUGACAUGACAGAAAUUUAGCUAGAAAGAUCCAUGUUACAGAGGUAAAUGGAAAAGUUUGAAAAUCAUGUGCUAUCAUCCUGUUGCCCUAAUCGUUGGGUUUCAUCCUCCAUGAAGCUAAACUCAUUAGCAGACCUUUCCAAACUUUUCUAAUAGAAAAUAUUCCAAAUCACUCACACUCGGAUACUCUAACAGUCGAUAUUUUGCAAAUGGAGAUCAAUCCUCCUUUGAGAUAGGUUUCAACAUUAACUAAUCAACAAAAGGUCUAAUGCAGAUUAAACAAAAUAAAAGUAACAUUCUGGUAGCCAUUAUGAGAAAUCUAGAAGAUGAGUAAAGCAUUAUGAGAAAUCUGGGGUUAUACCGCAAUAACUUCAUCGAUCACUUCUUCAUCUAAAUUUCUUGGGAUAAAACCUGCUCCAAUGCCUUGAAUUUUGUGAGGGCCUGCACUUUCAAAUUGCAGCCACUAGAACAAAUACAAGAAUUAAAUCUCAAAUAAAAAGAAGCAUGUGAUGUUAGCAUGUAGCUUACCAGGUUUGCCACCAGAAAGUAUGUUGCUUUCUAAGGGUUCUACUCCAAUAACCUGGCUUCCACAUAAAAUAAAAAAAUAAGGAACAGAGAAUGGAAGAGAAAAUCUAUUGCGAGGAAUAUAUUGCUCAACAUUCCAUGAAACUGAGAUGCAUACUUUGAAAAUUUUUGGAGAAUUUCUACAUCUUUUAUAAAUUAAAUAGGUAACUUGAACGAUAAAAAGAAAGGGGAUUUAACUGACGUGGAUACGUAUGAUGAAAAGGCAACUUUCUAAGAUAUACCCACUUACCCAGAACUAAAGAAUAAAUGAAUAGAUGCCUACCUUAAUGCCAGGAUUUCUUUCUUUCAGAUACCGACCAGCACCGGAGAUUGUUCCACCAGUACCAAUCCCUGCAACAAGUAUAUCUACCUUGCCUCUUGUAUCUUCCCAAAUUUCUGGGCCAGUUGUAUCAUAGUGUAUCUGCAGAAGAUAAGACGCAUAAUCAAACUUUUAUCAGAAAUAUGACAGCCUUAAAACACACAAAAGAAGACUCCUCUGAUACUAUCCAGCUGCACAUGUCUCCAACACAUUAUAUCUUUUGUUUUCCUUAGGAAUGGGAAGGUGGCUGUUUCAAGCUGCCUCAUAACAAAAUGGAUUUUAAUUUCAAUUAUAAGUCCAAAAGACUAGGGCUAUAGCCGACUGAGGUAACAUACUUUGUAGGAAUGGGAAGGUGGCUGUUUCAAGCUGCCUCAUAACAAAAUGGAUUUUAAUUUCAAUUAUAAGUCCAAAGACUAGGGCUAUUGCAGACUGAGAUAACGUGCUUCAUAGAAAGCAAUAGAUAAAGCAGGUCUGACAGAAGGAACUACAACUGAGCGAAAUGCGGACAAUUACCUUUGGAUUUGCAGGGUUAUCAAAUUGUUGAAGUAUAUAGGAAUUAGGAGUUUUAUUCCGAAUUUCUUCAGCUUUUUCAACAGCUCCUUUCAUGCCUUUAGCAGGAUCAGUUAAGAUAAGCUCAGCUCCAAAUGCUCUCAGUAGAACCCUCCUUUCAAGACUCAUAGAUGAAGGCAUUGUCAGUAUAAGCUUAUAUCCCCUAGAAGCAGCUAUAAAUGCCAAGCCAAUGCCUGUAUUUCCACUUGUAGGCUCAACCAAAAUACUCUGCAAUAAAAGAAGACAAGAAUGAUAAAAGUCCCCUGUAUCAAAGAUGUGAUACUACCACGAAUUGGUAAAACGAGGACUUCAAAUGCCAAAAAUGUUCAAUGAUGGUAUAAAAAUACUUAAUUUCCUCAACUGUUUCACCUCCCAAAGAAAAUAAAGAGAAAAACACAUACCAACUUUUCAUGUAACAAAAGAUUCAGUGGCAUCUAAGUUUUUAUAGCUGGUUCAGUAUUUUCUCCUUGUACUGAAAGCUGUAGUAUCUAGCAAACAACAAGAGGCAACUUUCUUUGACGUAGAGAUCCUAAAACUUCUGUGAGUGACUAACGUGCUUCAAAAAUUCCAAAAUUUUCAAAUCCAUCACCAUUUAAAAAAAAAAAAAAAAAAAAAAGAAAAAAGAGGCUACACCAGUCCUAGCCCGAGCUACAAAAAGUCAAUUAUGUUCAUUCUUGUUUCAAAAGAGUCAAAAUACACAUCUAAUAUGUAGUCCAUCAGAAAGAUGGAUUUUAAUGUUAUCUUACCUUCCCCGGCGUAAUAACACCCUUCUGCUCUGCAUCAGCUAUCAUGCUGUAUCCUAUCCUGAAAACAAGAGUAGUCUAUCAGGAGAAACAAAAUCAUCUUACACAUCUUUUUUCCAGCUGAAUGGGAUAUCCUCAAUAAUGUUUGAAGCAACAUUUUCAACAUCCUUUAUCAUUCAUUGAGUUUGUAAACUAAGAUAAUAUUGCAAACAUUGAAAUUUUAAUCUUAGCAAAUGUUUCUAGGGGCACCAAUAUGUUGUUCAUCCAGCUAACUAAGAACAACUUAAAAUUUUCUAUGCUAGUCUUAAAAGUCAAAUAGGUCAACAUGCUUAAUGGUCCAGCAUGUCUUCUAUCCACUAGAGUUGCCUGAAUCCUCAAGGUAUCAUUAGUUUCCUUAUGAACCCGCAAGUAUUACCAGAAAUUACAUAGGACUUAUCUGGAAUCUCCAUCUUGUUCCCUGCUACUUAAAUGACAGUAGCUAAGAGGAUAUAUAAGUUAUUUAAUGAAAUUUAGACAAAAUGUAGAUCAUUGGAACAGAUAAUCUCUAGAAUUUCCUACUAAUCAGAGAAGUCCUAUUAGAGGGCAUCUUCCUGUAAGAGCCAAAUUGCUGCUGUUUUAGAAUGACCACCAUGAAUCAUAGUUCAACAUCAAUUUGAGAGUUACUUUAGGUCAAAAGAAGAUGUAUAACGCUUUGUCAUGUAUACAGUAUUUCAGGUUAACUGGGUUACCAAGUUCAGAAUCAUCCGCUACAUGUUCCACUUUUGGUUGAAAGAAGAUGUCCUGUAUAACAGCAUUUCAGGUUAACAGGGUUAUUAGUUCAGAAUUAUCCACUACAUUUUGCUCAGUUUCCAGAAAGAAACUAGUACAUAAUUAGAUUUAUUAGUUAGCUAACUACUUGGCAGUUGGAUGCAAGGAGAUGAUUGCUGAAAUCUUCUAAUAUUACAUAUUUGCAUAGCCUUAUAAAUGGAAACUUAUCUUGACGGCAAAUAAUGUUGCUAAAACAUAUUUAAAUGACUCUGAUAACAGGCCCAUCAUGGAAUGAUUCUAAUGCCAAGGUGUAAUAAUUUGUAAUUACAGAUUAAAUUGUGGUCAAGGAUUGCAAGACAGAAGCUAUUAAUACUGGCGAGGAACCUCCAAUAUAGGGAGCCCUUAUUUGGAAAAACGAGGCCAACUCCUGAAACACAUUAUUUCUGAUUGUUUGACCCACAAGUCCACUUACCUAUCCUUGACACUACAACAUGGCUCCAUAAUUUCAAGCUUUGCGGCUAUGUGUGCUACAGAGCCCUUUACAAUAUUAUUCAAGUACACCAUGGGUGUCUUCCCAAUUAACUGCAAGACAAAAGAAAAGAAGUAAUAGGGCAUCAGAUGACACUUUAAGGCGGUCAUAAUAUUCUUUUUUCUAAGGAUAAAAGAUUCAUAAAUUAUACUAAAGUUACUAGAAAAAGCUGACAACUGCUGUAGUAAGUUAUGCAAAGCAGGAGUUAGAAGCAAUGGAAAGAACACUAAAGCAGGAAAUAGGAACGACAUUGUUCUCAAUGAAAGAUAAAAUUGCCAAAUUUUUCACAUUAUCCGAAUUCUAACCAUAAGAUCACAUAGAUUCCUGCAAGAAAGAGCAGGAAUAGGAAACUACAAAAGAGGGGAGAGGAGGAUAAUUUUUCUUUCACUUGGUAUAAGUAGAUAUCAACUAUGAAUUUAUCAUUAUAUGCCAUAAUCAACCCACCCCAAACACCAAGACUGUAACGACAGAGUAUUAGCAGUUCUUCUAGUUAAUAUUGACAAAUAGUUAGAACAUAAAUAAUGAUUUAUUCCUUCCAAGUUCAUAUCACUAAAUGCCACCAAGAUUCACAAGUUGUUACCUUCCGAAGACUUCCAAAAUCAGACAUUUUGCUAAACAAAAUGUAAGAGAAUAUAAAGAAAGCCAGAUUAUAAUCAACUGAAAUUUGAAUGAAUUUCAAAUAAAGACUACAACUUGCAGCAUGCUUUUGACAAAAACAAACCACCCAGGACUGCAAUUAACCAAAACUUGAGGUGAGAUUGUGACGCAAAAUAUCAGGUACAGAGAGACAAACCAUUCUAAACAUAACAAUGUCAUAAAAUGAUAUUGCUAAAGACAUAUUUCACAAAAAAUAAACAACUACCAUUCGGUUGAAGAUGGAAGCAAAGAAAAUUAAUACGCAACAACUUUCCAAUGAGAAGCCAAGUUUGGAGAGAUACACAACAAAGCAUCCAAUUUUCCAAUAUUGGUGUAAAUAUAGGGCAAACCAGAUUAAGAUUUGACCCAAUUUGAAGUGAACUUGAAAGCACAUUACUACGUCUCAAAAACUGAAUAAAAUCCAAUUUGAUCAAAAUUCUUCAACUCGUUAGCAGUUGUAACAACAGGAGAAUGACACAGAUAGGAUGACACCUAAAGGAAUGGUAAAAGGUAACAAGAAUAAAACAACAUUACAGAUGAGCAUUCAACUAGAACAAUCCAGGGGCAUAUGAUAGAGACGCGUAUAAGAUAAAACAUCCCAUUUUCAAAUAAUACUAAACAAAAAAUAAAACUUUCUAAAUAAAACAAAAAAUCCAAUCACCAAUGAUGAUUUCUGCAUCUUUCCAUCAUAGCCCAGAUGGAAAUUCAACUCAAAAAAAUACAGGGAAAAGUAUACAUACCGUUUUUCUUUUCAUUUUUUGAACAAAUAAAAAUAAAUAAAUUUAAGAAAAAGAAGCCCAGAUGAAAAUUCAACAGAUAAAAUCCAGGGGAAAUGAUGAAACCAACCUGGGUGACAUCUUCUGCUAUGUUAAGCCCUUCAACCUCUGUUACAGGCUGCUGUUCAAUGGAAACUGCUUUGCAGGUUACAGAAGAAAAAGAAACCUUCUCUUCGUAGAACUUUUUGCUGGAAAUACUACUGGAAUUAACGUUCUUGAAGCUCAUAGAACUGACCCCAAAACGACCCCGUUGGAGCAAAGGAUUUUCUGGGCAAAAUUCAGACUUGGAAUUGCAGAGAAAAGUCAAGGGCUUGUUGAUUAAAGAGGAAGCCAUUGCUGUGAAUUCCUCCUCUCCUCUUCUUCUUCCUUUUUCUCCUUUCUUGUUCUUCUUAUCUUUUUCUUUUCUGAGGUUUCUUUGGGACUUUUGUUCUUUUUCUACUUUGUUUUUGGCUUUUCGGGAAAUAUCGGCUUUUGAGUGACCUGAAACGACAACGUUGUAAGGGGACUAGUUCAACAUGUGGGGGCCGUGGGGCCGGUUGGAAAGAUCCUCUCAAUUAAGGAUUGUGAUUCGUUUGUGGAAUUGUUAAAGAAUGAUAAGGACCAAAGACUCGUAACUAGUAAGCAAGGGGUAAAGAUCUUAAAAUUGCAAAUUGGGAGCUAGAAAUGUCAUAUAAUCUUUUCAACCUGAAAAUAUUUGUAGAGUCAUUUUGAGACGUUAAUCAUUUAAGUCCACCUAUAAAAAACGAUUCUAAAAAUUACGACGUUCCUAAGCGAUAAACACAAACAUAAUAUGAGAAUCUCUAAAAUAAAAAAAAAAUAGAUUAUUCAUUAGUUUGUUUCUGUCGCUUAAGUCGUAUCUCGCUCAAUAUAGGAUUUUCUUUUUUUUUUUAUAUUUUGAUAGAAAAAGAAAAUUUUAAGCAAAUAUAUUAUCCAUCUAAAAUUUUUCUCUCAAGGUACACUUGAAAUAUCACGAAAUAACCAUCGCUUAUGCCAAAUUAUUCAUUCCUGACUUCGAGAAUCAGAAAACGAGUAGUUUUGUUUUCUUAAAAUAUGCUAAAUUUUAAAAUGACAACUCAGAGAAAAAUAUUACACUAUGAGUCAAUCAUCUUUGAAUGUUGUUGUUUAACAUUAUGGCGACUAUUGAUUUGGCAGAAAAUAAAACCACCUACUAAACUUAAUAGAUGUUCAUUACUUAUACAUAUAAAGACUUCUAUUUCCAACAAUUUGCUUGAGCAUGCUUUGAAAAUACACAUAUAUUAAUCACAUUUUCUGAAAAUCAAUCACUUCAAAAAACAUCAUCCAAACAGAGCCAUCACCUCAACAUCAAGAUUUCCGUAGUAAUUACAAAUACUUCUCUUCUUAGAUAAGAACAUAAAUGAUAAAAAGAAAAGUUACUCACUCAACUUGUACUUGAAUUUUUCUUCCCCAAGCAACGAAAAUGAGGACAACCGUUCCUGGCAGUUGAAAGCCAUGAUUUGGCCAAAAAAUUUUGUGCGGUUCAGAUCACAUUUUGUAAGUCGAUUUUCACGCGCGUGUGUGGAACUCACAAAAAUUUGUUCUAAAGUUGUGUCGUGUGCAAAGAAAAUUACACCGUGUGCAAUUAAAAUUAUGCAUAAUAGAACCGGCAGAAACGGUUGUACUACAACCGUUUGUGCCCCUUGUCCCCAAGCAACAUAGGCGUUAGACUGCCAAGUGGGAAUGUGGUGAAAAUUACCCAUCGUUAUUCAAUCAUAAUAAUACUAAUAAAUAGAGGACAAAUUUGAUAAAUUAGUAGUACUUUAGGCAUAUUUAUUGAUUUAAUAGGGUAUUUUAGUGAAAAAGAAAUGUUAGAUCUUCUCAUAGUGGGAAAUCCAGGCAAAUUAGUUAGAAUGUUCUUGUCAUAUCCUCCUACCAUUAUGCCUUUCACUUUUCAAAAAUGUUGACCUUUCAUCUUACUCUAAUCGCAUAGAAUAAACUUUUGUCCACAAGAAGAUUUCAUAGUCAAAAAUUAUUUGAUUAUCCCAAGACAAUCAAGUAUCAUCCUACCUUAGCAUAUUAUUUACAUUCACAAUGUCACAAUAAUGUUAAAUUACAGAGGCCGAGUUGCUAAAAUAAAAUUGCUGAGGAUGAAAAAGAAAUUAAUGGCCAGUUCUUAGACGUGAUGAGCUAAGCUUUUGCACAUGUACCCAAAACUUAAAUUAAAUUUUUGGGUUGCACUUUAGUCCUUAAUAUUUAAUUUAAUUAUCAUUUUUCCACACCAAGGAAAGCUACACGUUAUUCGAUUAAAGUCAAACGACCACAUCCACACAGAUAUAUAAAGUCCCUUUCUGCAUGAAUAUGAGAAGACUCUAAACGAAAUUGUCUUCUUGCAUUUCAUACAAAAAGGUGUCCAGAUACAUUUUUGCUUGACCAAAAAUUUGUAAAUCCAACUUAAUGAGGAGAAAAGAAUAUUCUCAUCAAGAAAAGCAUAAACCAAAAAAAAUCAAAUUUAUCAUUUAAGUGGCAUUUCUGAAUUGUAUUAUUUAUGUCUUUUUGGAAGAAAAUUCAAAUUUAACAAGCCCUUUUUACCAUGGCAUUUUUAUAUAUAUAUAUACUAUGGCAUGGUUUUGUUCAAAUUAACCUAAAAAAAGGUGCAUAGUUAAAUUCUAUAAAAUCAAAAUCAACAACUUAGAAAUAAAUAAAGAGAUAAAUUAAUAAAUUUCAAUAUAUAAUUGCACAGGGCCUUUAGGUGACCCCAGACUAUAAUAACAGAUACAUAAACAAAUGGUUUAAUUAAAAAAAAUAAAUUAAAUUAAUUGCAAUAGCAAUAUUACAACAACAAUUAAUUGAUCAACAAAAAGGAAAACACUUAAAUAUGUAGUGCUUCUGAUAAUUGGACCAUGGACUCUGAUGAUCAUCUCUAGACUUGGAAUGGCUGAAAUGGAGAAGCCCACUUGCCCCUAUUUUCCCCUCCACCUUGAGCUCUACUCCCAUUGUUGCCUUCCACAAAGCCAUAGUAUCUGAGCACAAAUGCCAUAACCAGAACCAACCAUUCCAAGCAGAAGAUGGCAAUGGACAAUCCUCCAGCCAAUUUCAGAAUCACAGCAGCAUCAUCUUCCCUGACAUAAGAUUUCAGAGCCCCCAGAAAGUUUGAAGUAGUAGUGAAGAUCAGCACAGAAACAGAUCCCUGAAAAAUCGCGGUAAGCACGGUGGCCACCAUGUGCAGAGCAUACCACUUGUUGGAGCCACCGGAGGCGGCGCUGCAGCCGGAAACGGCUCCAGCGAUGGUGAGAACGUGGAGGAGAAUGAGAAGGAAGCCGGAGACCGAGGGGACUAGCCGGAGGGAGAGAAGCAGGAAGAUGCAACUAGAGGCUGCACCUAAGAGGAUGUAGUUGCUGAGCAGGAAGAUUUUGUGUGUGUGGUAGUGAGAUUUUGCUACAUUGUUGCAAUCUGGGCUGUUGAUUGAGAGUCCCAUUUGGAAGAAAUUUGAGGAAAGAUUGAUCAGAUUCUUGAUUUUUGUAUCUGGGAUGGAUGAAGAAAUGAGGAGAAAAGAUGUGUAUUUACAGGGCUAGUGAGAUGGAAUGAUGGAGUGGGGAGUGAGGGGACUUGGUUUUUAAAGCUUUUGAGGGAUUUGACCGUUGCAUCAUUUUAACGGCUAGAUUGCAAUAAAAUUUAGGACACUUUUUUUUUGAAAGGUAACGGCUAUAUUUUAUGCUUGCUUUGUCUGGAUGUUUGGUGAGAGUGAAAUGGGCUAGCUGGCAGAAGCACUAAAAGCCAACAAAAACAAAUAAAGAAAGAAAAAGAACCUUUUAAAAAGGGAAAAUCAGUAGGUAAACUAUGAAAGGAUCCAAAGAAAGGGGAAAUUUGCCACAUGCCAAAGAAAAAAUAAAUUUCAUUUUACUUGUAUUAUUUUAUUAUUGUAAAAGUAAGAGAUGAUUUUAUCAGUUUUGAUUCUAAAACGCCUAGAUUUUAUUUAUGAUUUUUAGUAUGUUUUAUAGAACUAAUCUUCUACAUGAUUACCAGUGAGAUUUUCAUAUUGUAUUUGAACUUCAUGUUUAAAUUUUGAUUCCUUUUUACUUCUGUUACAUUCAUGCUGAAGAAAUUCUUUUGCCAAUCUUUAUUACUAAGAGUUCUUUUGUAAUGUGUUAGGCAAUUAAUUCUUAUGUACAAUAAAUCAAAUGCUCACGACCUAAUAAUGCAUACAGAUGCAAAGCACAAAAGAUUCAAAAUCUUCCAUAUUUCUCUUUUCUUGAGGAAAUUCAAAAUCUUCCAUAAUUCAAAAUUCAUGUGGGACAAAUUUUACUUUGCGCUCUCAACUUAUAUACUAUUCUCACUUUGCACCUUUAACUUUAAUUUUGAACACUUUACGCUCUUAGUUCUCAUAUGUGUCCUGUUUAAGCCUAACUGAUAAUGUGGUAGAAAAAUUAACAAAAUAAAAUUCGACCUAAUGGUUGAAAUUACACUAUCUUGAGCUUCCAUCAUCCAAAAUUUUUUUUUUUAUUAUAUAUAUACAGAAUAUUAGCACAUGUUUUUCUCUUUUGAGGAGAUUUUUGCUUAUUGUUGAGAUAUUUGCUUGUUGUGAAGGUUAAAAUAUAUGUUGUUAUCAAUUCAGGAUUACCCUCUUUUUUUUUUUUUUUUACGAUCUAAAGGGGUAUUCCGGAAUCACCCGAACUAAUCCCCCCAGACCGAGCAGAGCUCGCCCUAAAGAUACCGAACAACGGUAGCAAGUGGGUGUCGAAUCUGGGAUCUUGCUGUAAAGACGAUCGGAACCAGCCGAGCUAUCCACUGGGGCAUUCAUGAUUACCCUCUUAACUAAUAACUUUUGCUCUUUGAUACCUUGUUCAAUCUUUUUUUUUUUCACAAUAUUGUGAAAUGAAAUAAACCCAAAUCCAGUGGGUGCAAAGAGCGAGAUGAAAUUCUUGCACUCAAUUGUUGCAUGCUUCUGCAAUCUGAACCUUACCUUUUAUUCCUUACAAUUGAUUUUGUCACUAGUUAAAUGUAAAACAAACUCAUAGAUCAUAUGUUGAGUACCGUCCAAAUACUCCCAUUUUGAGCGGUUUCAGUCCUGCAACCAUAAGGGGAAACAAAUCAUGAAAUUAUUACCUUGCUUACGAGUUUAAAUAAAUGAUUUUUUUUUCCUGAAAUUUCACUUACUAAUAAUGUAAAUUCGACAUCAAUUGUCCCAGCUUCAGGAUCAGCAAUUAUCGUGAAGGCUUCUUUUGAAAGAACAAUAGAUUGUUCACAAUCGACGCAGUGAUCAAUGGUCCUUACAACCACGCUUUCACCAGUACAAGGGGUGGCGGAACCUUGGCUUCUUGGCCCUAUGCACGUCACAUUGUACCUUUUAUCGCACCUAGCUCCACCAUCCCAAUAUUGAUCGCUGAGGGACACAAAUUUAAUGCCGGUUGGAAGUUUAUAGCAAGCAUUUGCUGCAGAUGAAACCCCAUGUUAAAUAUGUUGACAUAUAUAAACACAUAUCUCACACAAACACACACACACACAUAUAUAUACAUCCAUAUAAACACAGAUAUAUAUAUACACACGCAUACAUGCAUACACAUAUAUAUAGCAUGUAUGCGUGUGUAUAUAUAUAUCUGUGUUUAUAUAUGUACAUCCAUAUAAACACAGAGAUAUAAAUAUACAUGCAUACAUGCAUACAUACAUAUAUAUAUAUAUAUAUAUAUAUAUAUAUAUUAGAGUCAUCGAAGGCUACCCGAAUUGGAUGCACAUGAUAAAUUCGAUCCGAUCCAUGUAGUAUUUUUUCUUUUAAUGUUUAAAGUUAAAUCUGCUAAUUUAUACUAAUUUUGUCUAAUUGUUUCUUAUUUCUUAUGUCUAUACUUUCUUUGAAUUAUAUAAAGGGUUUUUAAGUUGGGAAGCAUAUUAUCAUAGAAAUUUUGGAUGAAGUAUUGGCCUCUACUUUGUUUUUAAAUGCUACUCAACUCCUUUAUCCCAAAAAGUGAAAAGAAUGAUGAAAAUCUAUCUUAUGACAAACAAAGGAUGAAUUUAUCUAUUAGAGUAAUAACUCUUAUAUUAGUAAAAUAACCCACUCUCAUAAUUUAUAUUUGUGGGGGUAAAAAGUUUGGAUGAUCGUGUUUUUUUUCCCCAAAGACGAUAUAUUCUUAUUCUCACGCCCCAUCAGCGAAUCGGACCCUACUACAACAACCAGUUAUAACAUACAGGACACAGAUAAAAAAAAUCUCCAAAAUUUUAGAAAUCAAAGACUUUCUCCCUCAAAUAGAAAAUUCAAUGUAUAAGAAAAUUGCACUUCAAAAUUUGGUAUCUACGUUUAUAUCUUCUAAUCAUUCGUAUACUUUUCAUAUACUUAGAAUAAAAAAUGAAAUAUUCAAUGCAAAUCAAAUAUCUAAUUGGUCCUAUUCGUUUAAAACGGGUAUGGAAUUAACGGAUAUCCGCUUUGAAUGAACCUGGAUAUGAAUCACAUAAUAAAUAAUAAAAUCCAAGCUGUAAACAAUUGAUAUGAUCUAACCUGUAAGUAUCCCUAUUGCUGAUACUGGAAUCAAGAAAUAACAAAAAUUCGAGUUGGAAAAAUGGUACUCACGAUAGUAUCUUGUAAAGUAUACAGCUGUUCCUUUUGUAGCCAAAGAUGGAGAUACAAGACCUAACACAAAGCCAAAAACUACGAGGGCAUGUAAAUUCUUCGUAGUCAUCUCCCUUUUCUUUCUCUUUUUCUUAUGAUGAAUUCUAACGGUAUUCUUAUGAGUGCUAAAACACAUGUAUACUGUAUUGGAAUUGACCAUGCCUUUUUAUAGUUCAAAGUUUGAGGACAUCCCAAGGGGGAAAAAGGAAAGCAUUUCCACCUAAUUAAGAAGUAUUUCCACUUAAAAGAAGGGACAUUUAUGGUUUAACCAACUUGGAGAUUACCUUUCAAAGUUUUUGUCAUCUACCAUUCAUUUUUUUUACGAUAUGUCUAAUGGAUGCCCAUAAGGCACUCAUUAAAAUAUAUUUCAAGUGUCAUAUUUUUGAAAAUGUAAAAUUAACUAGAUAAAGUAAAUAAAUGCAAUAGAGGGUAGGUAAGAUUAAAUAGAAAAAAUAUAUAAAUGCAAAGGAGGAUAAUAAUUGUGAAUAUGUGCAUAUAUAUUAUAUGUUAGGUGAAUAUUAGAUAUGUUAACGGGUGCCUUAGAAAAACCCAUUUUUUUAACAUAGAUGAAAAUUUUCUUUGUCAAUUUUUGGAUAAAAAGCAUUAAUUAGGAAAAUCAAUUUAGUUCAAAUUUUGGUUUAUUGCCUCCAAUAAUUAUGGUUUCUAUAAGAUUGCAGGUUCAUUAAGUGUUGGAUAGUUAUUGUGCUACUUAAUUUGAUAAAAUUGCAUUGUUUGACCACCUGAUAAAGAAGGGCCAAAUUUAUGCUAACAAGUUCCAAAGGGCCAAAUUUAUGGAGAAAUUUCUAAAUUUGUGAUGAAUUUCAAAAAAAUUCUGCAAAUGGGUGAAUUUGGCGUGGGGUUCUGACCAGGGGUCUUCGCAUUCAGUAAAUACGAGAUUCAGAUAAGCUUAGAUUCAGCAAAUGUGAGCUCUCAAAAAUUUUUAAGGGUUAAUUUUUUUUCCAAAUAGCAGCAGCAUAAAUUACAUAGAUAGGGGCUAGUAUUGAAGUAACUUAAGGGGUUUUUCUUGACUAAUAUGGACGUGAAUGUAUAGAGACAGGAUAAUAGAUGACGCGGAUUGUCUAACCAAAAAAGAGAAGCUAUAAAUUGGAUUGUCUAAAUAAUAGGUCUAUGUUAUUUUGCAAUGCCGAGGGGACGUACCGAUAAGAGCUAAAUUUGUCUUCUUUUUGAAUAUGUUCUAUAUCAGCUUUGAGUCCAUUUGUAAGAUCAAGUGGUAUAAAUUGUCCAUUUUGUGUCACUAACUUGCACCUUCAGCUAAUAAAUGGAAUAGUUGUGAUUGUUGUUAUUUUACAUGCAAAAUCUCUUUUGGUCGUAUGUAAAAUGAUCUAGCUUAAGUGGAAAUGAAAUGAGGAAGGAUUUGAAGUUGGAAAAGUGUACAUGUGAUGUGGUAAAUGAGGUGAGUUUGCACUAAAAAAAGGAUAAAAUGAUCUUGUUUAAAAGAGGGGAUAUUGAUUUGGAGAGUAUUAGUUCAAAGUGUGGAAAAAGGAACUGUAUUUGAAUGUCAUAUCAGUAACCGCAAGAGUAACCACUCGCAGUUUGCAUUUCUUUACCAAAAAUCUUUAUCUUUUUUUUUCAAAAACAUGAAUCUCACAUUUAUCAAAUCAGAAACAUGAAUUUCGCAUUUCAUAAAUGCGAAGAUUCUACUCCUAGAAUCAAUCCCAAAAACAACGCCUCUUGUAGAAAUUUUUUUUUCAUAACAAAUUAAGAAUUUACUCCAAAUUUAUGCCAGCUAGCUAAACUGAGAAAUAUUGAUAAUCUUAUUAUGACUUAAAAAAUGAAAACAAACCAUAUUAACUUUAAAGUUAUUCAUGCUCGAAAAAGUUGCACACUAAUCUUCUACCAUAUGGCAAUAUUAUGAGAAAUACUGACUUUGUUCCGACCAAGUAAAACCAGAUAAUAAAUAGUUGUUCUUGCCACCUUUAACCGUUCUAUUUUUUUGGGGCUCCAUAGAUCCUAAAUAAUAUUUUUAAAUGAUUUAUUUGACAAUGAAAAAAGUUGUUUGAUAUAAUGUAUUAAAAUAUGAUCGACUAAUGAGGUGCCUAGGUGUGAGUUUUGUAGAAAAGUGUGGUUAAGUUAGAAAAACAUCUAAAUGUAGGGAUGUAAUAAUUAUAAUUGUGUUUGUUUAUAUGAUAAGUUAGAUAUAAUUUGAAUAUGCUAUGGAGUACCCAUUAGAAAAUGUUUAAAAAUAUUAUAAUAGAUUCAUAAAUACAAUCAUAAGCUUCUUCCAACAAAAAAAUUCAUAACGUAACGUGUAGUAAAUAAAACUCCAAAUAUUCAUCAAGAUAGAAAAAGAAUGUGAAUCUAGAAUUUCUAAAUUUUGAAAUCUCAACCUUAUAUGACAAUAUUAUUAGACAUUAGUUAUUUCCUUUUAGGGUAACUUUUUAUACUUAGUGUAUAAUUUUUUUAUAAUAACAAAUUCAGAUCAUAUCAUAUAAUAUGAAUUUGAAAUUCAAUUUAUAUAUAUAUAUAUAUAUAUGGCUAAUAUCCAAAUCUAUUAGUGUUAAAAAAUUACAACACUAUCGGUGCACGAAAAUUAAUCCAUUUUUUAUUAGUAUUCUUAUUUUUUAAUGACGUAAGCCAAUGAAUUAAUUAUUGGAUCAUUUGAAACCCGAACUUGCAAUAAAGCCCCACCAACCGAAAGGCCUGAGCUGACAAUAUUUUUAAUACUCCUAAAGCCCCUAAACUUUUCCCAUAAUUCCAACCAUGUCCUUGGACAGAAUGGACUCCUCAUCGGACUCCCCGUCGACGUCGUUUAGCAACCGCGACUGGUUCUUCCCUUCCCAAUCCUUCCCAAACUCUUCCCACCAUAUCCCAAGAACACCCAUCCGUAGAUUCUCCUCUCCUUAUCCAAAACGGGCUGCAACGCCGUCGUUUCAGAGCUUUCCGGCCAGUCCUCCGCCGCCGCCGUCGACUCCUUCAAUAUCUAAUUCUUCUCCUCCUCCUCCUCCUCCUCCGCCGGCUAACUACUACGCCAAGUAUGCCGGCGUACGACGCGGUUCUGCUUACCUCAGUCGUCAGUUGCCAAAUCAGAAGUCAACGAGUCAGAACGACGGCGGUGGAAUUGGUGGUCAAGGAAUUAAGAGCAAGUCCGACGACGCCGUUUCUGAGUUCAGGGAGGAUAGUAAAACGACGACGGAGCCGGCGGGCAAGAGGCUGACUGGCUUAUUCGGUGGCCGGUUGAUUGUUCGUUGGCAAACGGCUUUCACCGCUGCAGUGAGUUUUGACUUUAACUCCUGUCCAGUUCUACGUGGCAUGUUAUAACAAAUCUGUAACAAAAUUUCAAUUUAGUCCCUUAUGUUUUUUAAUAGGUUUAAUUUUAUCCCUUAUGUUUCUUUCUUAACACAUGUAGUCCUUCAUGUAUUCCUGUUUGCUGUGCAAAAUAGUAUGCGGAGCUGACGUAGCACCGGCGUGUUUGGUUGCAGGUAUUAGUAACAGCAUUUUCGUCGUUGGUGCAUAAAAAUUUUGCGUUACACAAUGAGGUUAUUCGUUUACAGGUAAUGUAUGUUUUUCACCACCUUAAUACUAACAAAUUUUGAUCUUUAUGUAGAAUAUUAAUAUUAGUUUCUGUAAUAGUGUUCAAGUUUAGAUGGUAAACAGCAGAAAUCUUGAAAUAUGUAGUGUAAGAAUAGACUUUAAAUUCAUCUAAAGAUUGAAUCUAGCAUAAGGUCAGCUUAAUUUAGUGCAUAAGUUUAAUACAAUGUAACCAUUUAACAGCUUAGCAGUGUUUCUCACAUUCUGAUAAUAAUAAUGUUUUUAUAGCUAAAUAGUUUUGAAAUUGCUAUGGGAUUCAAUUAAAACCAUAACAUGAUGGCUUUGGCUAGCUUGAGAUGCAUUGUCAAGUAUCAACUCUGGUGAAACCUUAAAUAUUUUGGUUAAAUUGUUUCGAAAGAAUUUAGCUUUGAUUUCAUUUACCGCUGGAUUCCACAUUUUGCCUAAGUUGUUACUUGAAUGUGUGGUAGUUCUGUUUAGGCUUCAAUUAAUCAAGCAAUCAACAUUGUUUAAGUCCCAUGUGAUGAUAGAUACUUAUCUUUUGUCGAUUGUGAAAAUUGAUUUUCUUUAAUAUUUUUGUGAAUAAUAAGUUAAUAAGUACUCCAUAGAUGAUAUUACUACACCAUAUAUUCCUUUUGAUCACCUUUUGUUUUGUUUUUCUCCUCUUUGUUCCUUUUCCACAAAUUGCAGGAUCAAAUUUUCAAGCUCAAUCACCGGUUACUGGUUUGCAGUUUGCUUGAUUCUAUAGAUGAUAUUGAUUCAACGACACACGACAUAAACCAUCUUUCUAACAAAAGCUUGAAAAACAUAGCUGUAGUCGCCUCACUAGCAUUGCUAUCAAUUCCAUUUCUUUUUCUCAAGUAUGUUGACUAUGUCUCAAAUUCGAGAAGAUUGUCUGACAUUCUCACAGAGGAAGUAUCUUUAAACAAGCAGCUGGCAUACAGGGUUGAUGCUUUUUUAUCUGUCCAUCCCUAUGCUAAGCCACUCGCCUUGUUAGUUGCAACAGUACUACUUAUUUGUCUUGGCGGGUUAGCACUUUUUGGGGUUACAGAUGACAGCUUAGCAGAUUCCCUAUGGUUAUCUUGGACCUAUGUUGCAGACUCAGGCAAUCAUGCUAAUUCCGAGGGCAUUGGUCCGAGGUUAGUGUCAGUGUCCAUUAGCUUUGGUGGGAUGCUCGUAUUUGCAAUGAUGCUGGGACUCGUUUCAGAUGCAAUUUCUGAGAAGUUUGACUCACUGAGAAAAGGAAGAAGUGAAGUUGUAGGGCAAAAUCACACUCUUAUCCUUGGGUGGAGUGACAAGUUGGUAAGCCUUUGCUCUUCAAACCUUAAUUAGAAGUAGUAGAUUUUCUAGUGUUGCUUUUGGAGUACCUGCAAGCAUUUUCUUUAUUUAUUUAUUUUUUCCAUCAGUCUAGUGAUACAUAAUAACCUUGUUUUUAUCCUCCUUUUAAUCUCCAAAAUCUCAUCCAAUUUUAGCCCUGUUAUCAAUAAUAAAUUCUUUUUUGAGAGUUGAAGAUGUAUUUUUCAUUUAUAUUCUGUUUAUCUAGUUCUACAUCAUCUGCUAUCAAACUUGCUUUGCUUUCAAACAAAGAAUGUGUAUAUGCUUGAUUUACAAUAGAAUAAGUUUGUACAUUACUAGGGCUUUUUACCAAGUAAUUCUUGGAUCAACAUCUCGAAUGCUAGCAAAUGUUCAGAUUCCUUUUUCUUUGAUGUUUGUGCUUAUGUUCAUUCCAUAUUCCUUGAGGGUACUUCCGGGGACUUUGGAUUUAAGGCAAAAGAGAGUAGAAUUGCCGAAAUUGACUGCCGAUAAAUAAGAGCAGAUAAGAAUUGCAUGCUCAGCUUUAACUCUACUUGUACAGCAGAAUUUAUUUUCUGUUCAUGUGAUUGCACAAGCAUAAGCCACCAUUGUAAUUCCUGAAAAUACUUCUUUAUGCUCAGGGAUCUCUAUUGAAUCAACUUGCUAUAGCCAAUGAGAGUUUGGGUGGUGGAAUGGUUGUGGUUAUGGCUGAAAGAGACAAAGAAGAGAUGGAGCUUGACAUUGCUAAAAUGGAAUUUGAUUUUAGAGGAACAUCUGUUCUAUGCAGAAGUGGAAGCCCUUUGAUUUUAGCCGACCUGAAAAAGGUAUAUCCUAUUCCUGGGCUUAAUCACAUGCAACAAACAGCUAUCCAAAAUUUUUUUUAUCAUUGUUUUUUGAUCCAUGAAGUAAGUUGGCCUACUUUAUACUCUUUUUCACAAAUGGGUGGCUAUAAUUAGCUGCUCUUCUAUCAUAGUUUGAUCAAAUUAAGGUUUCUUGAUUUUUGAACUGAUUUUCUAAUAUAGCUUGCAUGGAAUUUGCCAGGUAUCUGUCUCUAAGGCUCGUGCAAUUGUCGUUCUUGCCGAAGAUGGAAAUGCCGACCAGGUAGCUUCAUGAAAGAAAUCAUCAUCUUUGAUACUUAAGAAGUGAACUACUAUUGAAGAACUUCUUUCUUUAUUCUUUGUUAUACAGAGUGAUGCUCGUGCCUUGCGGACAGUUCUAAGCUUAACAGGAGUCAAAGAAGGACUAAGGGGACAUAUAGUGGUCGAACUGAGUGAUCUUGAUAAUGAAGUCCUUGUUAAACUUGUAGGUGGAGAUCUAGUUGAAACAGUUGUCGCACAUGAUGUAAUUGGGCGGCUAAUGAUUCAAUGUGCUCGGCAGCCAGGCCUUGCGCAGGUCAAAUUUACUUGCUUUCUGCUUUUGAACUAUUCAUGCAGGCAAGAAACUGAAUGGUCUGUAAUUGGUUUCUUAUCAACUUAAACUACAUGUCUGUAUGGACUUGGUUUGGCAGAUAUGGGAAGACAUUCUUGGCUUUGAGAAUUGUGAGUUCUACAUCAAAAGAUGGCCUCAGUUGGAUGGAAUGCCCUUUGAGGAAGUCUUGAUUUGCUUCCCAGACGCUAUUCCUUGUGGUGUCAAGGCAGCAUCGUAUGGUGGAAAAAUAAUUUUGAAUCCUGACGACUCCUAUGUUUUGCAAGCAGGAGAUGAAGUUCUUGUGAUUGCAGAAGACGAUGAUACAUAUGCUCCAGCAGCACUGCCUACGGUGCUUCCCUUUUCUUUAUAACAUGCUCAUAAUAUAAAUUGUCCUCAUAUUUUUUAUGUCAAUUCCAUUCAGAAUUUACCCAUGCCUAGUCAAGGUGUUUGCUUCCUCAUGUUAAAAUAACAUUAUGCAAUGCGGAAAAAAUAAAUGGAAAAUCAGGAGCAAUGUGGAAAAAAUAAAUAGAAAAUUGGGAAUGAACAGAUAUGAGAAAACAAAAGAUGGAAUAGACAUGAUUGAUAUCGCCUUUAUUAGUUCACAUACAAAGAUAUGCUUUCCACUUCUUUCAACCAUAAAAGAUGCCAACUUUUGACCUCUUCAAGUAUUGAGCUGUUUAUUGACUCUUAAUACGUUGAUUCAUCAAGCUGAUCAAUAGCAUCUAUGUCUGGUUCUGGUAAACUGGUCAGUCUAACUGCGUUUAUGAUCAGAAUGACUAGAUAGGCAAUUGGAAUAGUGUGAUGUCAUUUUUGGAUCUUGGAAGGGUUAGGAGUAUGUGGUUGUACUUCUGCAAGUGGAAAAGCUACUUGUCUGCAGAUCAAGUAAAUUGCGCAUUGGGCAGUUGCAAUGCUGUAGUUUUACCAUCAUAGAGUUAUUGCUUCUGAAUUUAAGGGUGUGUUCAAAAUAAGCUUGCUCGUUAAGAGCUUACAACAGUGAAACCACAUACUAAAUUUUAAGCACUCUGAAAGGCUUUCCAAUGUUUUCGUCUUGUCUGAUUGGAGAAUUGGAAAGAAAGUGCUUAAUCAUUUCAAAGAAAGAAUAUCAUCCAAUGGUAGGCCACUCUGCAAAGAAAUGCUCUUCUGCUCUUGACAGUAUGGUGAUUCCUGUGAUGGAAUCCAACUAAGUGGGGCAUACCAUAAACAAAACUUACAGACACAUAAUUAAUUUGGUUAUUCAGGUCAAAGAAGCACCAUUCAUACCCAUCACCCGACCAGCAAGAAAGCCACAGAAGAUACUACUUUGUGGAUGGAGGCGGGACAUUGAUGAUAUGAUUGUGGUAAGCUCUAUCAAUCAUAGCCCCUAAUUCUUUUCUCUUUUCACCUGAAUGCUGCAGGUUCAGAGAGGAUAUCUACCCAAGGAUUUUAUUGUUCCAAAAUCUGCAGAGCGCAUACUUUUUUGUGGUUGGCGUCGAGAUAUGGAAGAUAUGAUUAUGGUAUCCUUGCCAGAAGCUACCAUAUGUUUCCACUACUUAUACCAGUGUCUUAUGCAAUUCAAUGCGGCCAAGCUAUUCACAGAACACAUUCUGAUAUGCAUCUGCAUCCCAUUACUCAACAUGGAGCACAACCUUUAAGUUCUUCCAAUUUGGGAUCCUUCUUUGAUUAAUUCAACCUUGGCUUCCUAAGACAUAACAUCUAACAUCUUAUGACUUACAUACCAUAUUAAAGUCUACACUAUUGUGCUAGGUAUUGGAUGCCUUUUUAGCACCUGAUUCAGAGUUGUGGAUGCUCAAUGAAGUUCCCGAAAAGGAAAGGGAGAAAAAGCUCAUAGAUGGUGGCCUUGAUAGCAGCAGAUUGGUCAAUAUAACGCUGGUUAACCGUGAAGGAAAUGCUGUUGUUUGACGUCACCUUGAAAGCCUGCCAUUAGAAUCCUUUGAUUCUGUAAGUAUUCUGUUUUUGUAAUUGUGUUAUAAGCAUCUCUUUUAUGACUUUAACAGAAAAUUGUCGCCAGUAAACUGGUCUGCCAAAGUCCAAUCAACAUUAAAAAGUGGUACCUUUAGACCAAUUACCAACAUCUUGGUUCAAGUAGUGAUUAUCUGGACAACUACUAGUCUUUGAAUUGUCUAAUCUCCUUCUCUGUACCAAAGCUCCUCCUAUUUAUAUGCAGAUCUUAAUUUUAGCUGAUGAAUCAGUUGAAGAUUCAGCAAUCCAGGCUGAUUCCAGAUCUCUUGCCACAUUGCUUCUUAUCCGUGAUAUUCUGGUACUUUGCUCAGACAUUGUCAUUUAUCAACUUAAUCUCUGGUCUAGUAUUCAUGGAAAGACUUAAGCCCAUAUUUUACUCAUCUUCCUCUCCAUUUGCUACUUCUGAAUAGAUUAAGUCUAGUAUUUUUGGAAACACUUAAACGCAUAUUUGACUCAUCUACCUCUCCAUUUGCUUCUUCUGCAUUUAUACCAUCAAUCAUAGUCAAUCUAUAUUUCUGGCUGUUAAAACAGUACGUCUAGGUUCUAAAGAAUCUAUUGCAUUCGAAUUUCUUAUUUUAAUUUGCUACUGAAUGGUAAAUAUCAUAACAGCACCAUGAUAGGAAAUAGCCAACUUAAAUUAUGCGAGCUUCGCCAGAUAUUGGCACUUUUUCCUUUCUUUUAUGGUGAAUAAACACCGUUAUUUUCUUUUUCAGGUUUAUGGAGUAGUUUAGACUUUUCAACACUAAUUGCAUCUUCUUAUUCUAUGUGAUGCUGCUUCGUGUACAGUUCUUGCUGCUCACUUCUAUUGCUCUUCUUACCAAAAUUGCAUAGUAGGUUGUACUUGAGCAAGACUAAUUUACUCUUCCUUUUUCUUUUGGGUGGAAGAUAUGCUUAUAAUCACUUCUAUGGUGUCCUAAUGUACUCUCGAUGGAUAUCUUCUUACAGUAAUUUUUGUGAGAAAAGGUAGCAACUUCGUUAUGUUUGUGACAGUUAUGGUUAGAAUUGCAAUAUGUACAUCUUGCAUGCUACCUUCUGUAAGAUGUAUACUAGCACAGUCAUCAAGAUUUUAUAUUAAUUUGCAUUUAAGUUGUUUUGUACUUUUUAAUUGCUUUUAUUCGGUCAGCUAUGAAGUUUAUAAAUAUUAUACCCUCAAUGUGCAUCAGUAUUCUGAAUCCGGGUUUCAGCUCUGAAUAUCAUAUGCAUGCAUGGCUUUCAAGAAAACAUCUUUUGCAGCAGCUUUUGACCAGCUUGAUUAAGUCUUGAGAAGAACCAUAUGCCCUGAAACCUUCCCUUUACUUAAUGAAAGAGUUUAGAGGAUGGAAGAUAUGAUAGUCCUUUGUGAUAGAUCACAACAUUAGGACCCAGAUCCAAAUGCUAUUACGAUUUACUGCUCACGUGCUUCUGUAGCUGCACGAUGUUUAAAGCAUUUGAGCCUUUUAGAUUCAGAAAAUCAGGAAGACCUAAUCUUUCUUUUGACUUUGCAGGCGAAACGCCUUCCAUACAGGGAAGCUAUGGUUUCACAAGUUCACAGAAGUAGCUUCUCACAAGGUUCCUGGAUUGGGGAAAUGCAGCAGGCUUCAGAUAAGUCGGUUAUAAUUAGUGAAAUCCUGGACCCCAGGACUAAAAACCUCUUAUCUAUGUCAAAAAUCAGUGACUAUGUCUUAUCAAACGAGCUUGUCAGCAUGGCACUAGCAAUGGUUGCAGAGGAUCGGCAAAUAAAUGAUGUACUGGAGGAGCUUUUUGCGGAAGAGGUACUACUUUCAGCCACUAGAUUAAGUGCAUUUUAAACUGCUCUUUUUUUUCUUUAAUUGGAAAUCCUGAGCCACUAAUUAGGUAUAAAUAAUCACAGUUUGGUUAGGUAAUUAAGAAGUGAUGUUUUCCUUCGACAACUUUUUAAUGUAGUGAGUUGCAGAGUAUUCCCAACAGAAGCGUGCAAAGAUAACACAUCAAUUUGCUAUUUGCCCUUUUAUGCGCCCUAAAAGAACAAAGUAACAAAAACAAAGACUUGCAUGCUAAAUUUUAUGUAGCUGUAAGUUAUGUAUGAAAAAUCUAUCUAUUAUGAAGUAACAGUGAUAUUUUAAAAAUAACGAGCCAGUGGAAUGUUGCCUUAUAUUGAAUUUUGAUUGAGUUAAUAGCUCUGUUGUCAGAUGUUACCUACAGUGUAGAAUUGCCUAAAGGGUCCUCUACUAGCUUUUUAUCAGAUUGUUCCUUAGUGAUAUCACUUGACAACGCCCCCCCGGUAGCUCGGAUGGUCGCCCAGUUCUUAGUUAAGGCUGCCGACCCCAGGUUCGAGUCCCGUUGCCCGGAGUGGGUUGGGGUUGCCCUCUCCCGGGCCGCAGGGGGAUUUAGUCGGGCCAAAGCCCCGGACACCCCCUGUGUAGGAAAAAAAAAAUAUCACUUGACAACAGGGGCGGAUUUAUGGUGGGGGCGGUGGGGGCCUGUAAUUUCUAUAAUACCAAUAGAAUUUUGAUAUAAUCUCAAGUGUGUCUCUUGAAGUUUUGUGUAUUCUUUGGUUUAUAUGCUUCUAAAAUUGACUUUGAUUCUGUCUGUUGCUAUAGCUAUCGUAGAAAGGGUUUUUUCAGUUAUGAAUAUGGUAAAAAAUCGGUUACGAAAUAGAAUGGGAGACAUUGGAUGAAUGAUUGUUUAGUUAAUUAUAUUGAGAAAAAUAUAUUUUAUGAAAUUCAAAAUGAAAAAAUUGUAAACCGUUAUCAAAAUAUGAAAACUCGUCGUGAGCAAUUGUAAAUGAUUUAGUUUACUUUUUGAAAUAAAAUUAUUAUUACAUUAAUAAUUUUGAGUUUGUCAUUUUAUGUCUUUCAUGGAAUAUAUGCAUCAUUUGUACUUGUUGGUGAAUAUUUUUUUUGCUUAAAAAACCGGAAAAAGAGUAGGUAAAAAAUUUCAGAAUUGCUUUUGCUCCCACUGAGAAAAUUUUCUAGCUCCGCCGCUGCUUGACAACACCCAACUUUAUGACUAAUUAGUCUGAAUAAACCAAACAGUGCUUUUAAAGUCUUCUUUGGUGGUAAACAUAGACCAAAAAAAAAAAGAGGGAACUGCAUUGUUUUUCCUAUAAAUUCUACGGAUUUGUUUCUCUUUAUUAUUAUCUCCAAGAUAUCAGGAUACACCGUUUCUUUGACAGGGAAAUGAGAUGCAAAUAAGAGGUGCGGAAUUGUAUCUCCGGGAAGGGGAGGAGCUGAGUUUCUAUGAAGUACUACUUCGAGCACGUCAAAGAAGAGAGAUAGUCAUUGGGUAUCGCGUGGCUAACACAGAGAGAGCUGUAAUCAAUCCCCCAGCCAAAAAUGAGAAGCGAAAAUGGUCAGUAAAUGAUGUUUUUGUGGUAAUUGCUGAGAAAGAAUGAGAAGUCACCAUAUUCCUGAAACCAGUGUGAAUACUUGGAAUGGGAAGUGAUGGUAAAAGUCCAAAGAGAAUGAGGAAGCAUUAGGUUCUUGAUAUAAUCAGCAAGGCAUAUGGCAAGGACAGUCACAAUCCUUUCUUGCUUGACAAGAAUCAAGUUAUCUGCAUGCAAUUGCCAGGCUGCAAUUCUUUUACUCAACGUUAUUACUCUGAAAUAAGCUGAAAUCUGUAGAUAGUAUUUGCAGAAUCCCCUUUUCUUUUCUUUUUUUUUCCAAUUUUCCCACUAUAUUGUGUGGGAUUAGCUCAAUUUAACCUAGAUGACAACUGUAUGUCUUGUUUUAUUUUAUUUUUUUCGCUUAUCACUUUGUAGUAUGUAAGAUCAGCUGUAAAUAACAAUGAGAACUAGUGAAGAGGGCACACCCUAUGUGUGUGUGUGCAAAUCUAAAAGAACAAUUAUUGAAAAGAAAAAUUAGGAAAAUUUUGGUAGUUGUUGGAGAUUUUUUUUUUAUUUUAAUAUGAAGGAAAGAAUUGUGUUUUUCUUUCUUGCUUUUUUUUUUUUGAAUUUGGAGGGGAAGUUGUUGGCCGUUAUUACCUUAUUAGAAGUUUUAUUAGGUUAGAGAAAUGAGGAUGUUGCAUGUAUGUGAUGUGUGUGUGUGUUUAUUUUAGGGAGAUAAUGGUACCAUUUUGCUCUUUAUUUGAAAGGUAAAAAAAAUAGGAAUUAUAAAAGGUGACACGAAUGGUAUAGACAUAUGGUAUAGACAUUGAUGAGUCUUAUUGACUUUAGAAGUUCACUGUGCACUUUUCUUUUGUCCAAUAAUUCUUUUCACGGGCAUCAACUAUGAAGUGAUAAAUCUUGUUAAGUAGAACAUACCAGAGUGCAUUCUUACCAGCCUACCAGAAAUUAAACAUAUUUUAGCUCCUAUAAGGCCGCUCCAGCGGAUUAACUGCAAUCAAAAUUAUCGUACCAUUGUUCAACUAUGUGGUUGUUCUUGUUGUUUUUUUUUUUUCUCUUUAUUUUUCUGAUAAUCAAUUAUAUGGUUUUCUUUUUUUUUUUUUUUUGGGUUAAUUUGUUGACAUGCAUGAAACUUAUGUCUUGUAGAAUAAAGAAACUACAAUCAGAGAUGAAAAAUUAUUGCUUCUUCAAAUUUUUUAGGCAGAUUUACUGAGAAAAGUACCAUACCGGUAGUCAGUCUAAACAAUCUUUAAGCAUUUUUAUUCACUAAUUCUCAGAUGUACACAGACCUCUUUCUUUUAGAUUGUUUGCUAUCCAAUUGCUGUUUAAGAUGACCAAUUAGAGACACUUCCAAGAAAGUUUAAAUUCGUGGUUGCAUGUGCCAAAGGUUGCGCAAAAACAUUGCAGAUUUGCAGUUAUGCAGAUACUUUACAACUUGACAAAAUGAUCCUUCUGAAGAUUACUAUCUUAUAAGACACAUGCUCGUUGGUUUAAGAUGGUAUUUUGUGAUAUUUUUGGACUAUUGGUUCUGCUUGAUUUGACCAUUUUCUUCAAAAACAAGUUUUUUCAUACACAAUACUACGGUAAUAUAUUCCCAAAAACACCUAAUCCAUGUAAAUCUCAAAUACAACUAGGAAAAAAAAUUAAAUAAAAUAAAAAACUCACCACCUCUAUCUUCUUCCACCGACCACCACCUCACACCUUCCUCUUCCUCCUUCCUUCUCCUCCCUCUCCUCUCCCUACCACCUCAGACCGCCCCCCCCUCCCUCUCUAGCAGCCUCGUGACCAGAAGGUUGUGGCCAGAAGCUGCGAUCAGAUUGUGGCUUUCUGGCAGCUACCUUCUGCUUGCGACAAUAGCAACUUUUCAGCAGGGAAAAAAUAAACAAAGCAUGUCUAUAUUGUGCCAAACCAAUUGAAUCCUCCAAUCCAAAGAGCAUCUGUAGAAUUCAUACUAAAGAGCUGAAUUCUUUGAUGAGCGUAGAGAAUGCGAUCCACAUUAUGCAACAGACAGAAAAGCCAAAACUGUGAUCUGCAUUAGUAUCUCAGUAGUAGACCGACUCCGUCCAGUAAAAUGAGACAUCACCGUAGUAUUUGACAGGCAUCUUACAAGCAACAGUACUAAACAGGCUGAUUAAACUCAACACAGACGACCAGAAUGUAUGGAAUGCAUUAGAAUCUUUACUUCUAUGCUUCAGAAAGAUCCAUAUUCUCUUUAGGACCUGUCACUUCUGGAGAUGGAUUUUCAGUAUCUUCACUGUCAGAUGGUUGGGAUUCGUGCUUUGCAGCAGCUUGCAACACUCUGCUCUGAACAUCUGAAGAUGAAGGUGAUGUUGGCAGUCCGUUGCGGUUUGUUUCUAACUUGCCAGUGGCCCAUGAAAUUGCUUGACCUCCUAAUCUAGCUGGAGCGAGCAAUAGCCUUGGAAGCAGACAUAAAACAACAGUUAUUGAAUGUAUCAUUCUGUUACAUUUUGCAUAUAAUCCUCCAGAUGAAGGAGAGACUAUCUUAUUCUAAAGAUGUGGCAGAAUAUUCGAGCGCUGGCCAAGAAGUGAGAGAUUAGGUUCGAAGUGAGAUAAAAUUGCUCAAGUGAUCGGCUCAGUAAACACUUGAUUGGAUUGGACAAAAGGACAUCAAAACUGAAGAAAAUGACAUUAUUUUUAAGGAGCACGGCAUAUUAGCUAACCAUAUUCACAGACUCCUUUGUUGCUUAGGCCAAAAUAUAAUAAUUAAGAGCUCAAUUACCAACCUCUAAAAUAAGGUCAAACUCCCUUGGACUUUUACUUUUCCAGUGAGCAUUGGAAUUGCAUGUAAUGCAUAUGUAUAUUGGGCAAGUUGAUGCAGCAUCAAUUUCAGAGAUUAAUGAUGUUAAUGGGGCCAAAUGCAACCAGUUCAGCAAGAAAGCUUUUAGAGUUUUCCACACAAUUUUUACUUCUAAACAUCAAAUGCCCAUUGAAACAAAUUAUCCACACAGGUUCUACUAAGAUGUUUCCAGACAUUUUCUAAUACUUAACAGAGUUGACCCCUUUAUUCUAUGCUUUAAGUUGCACCAUUUUUGAGUUGAAAUUCAAUUACAAGAAAACAAUAAGUUAAACAUGACAUUGCUCAAACUAAAAUUUCGCUCAUAUGCAUGAAAUGCACCAAAAACUAAUUUCACUUUUGUAGGGACUGACUUUCUCAGCUUGAAAAGUUAGGCAUGACAUUUUAUAGAGCAUUUUCUGUAUUUCUCAGCUAUAAAAUAUGAAGGUAUGCUGAGUAAAGCGACCAUCAACUAGCUGAAAGGGCACACAAACUAAGGUUUUUGUGUUGGCUUUCAGAGGGGGAAUGUAAAAGCAAAAGGAAAUAAAAAUAGAAUAUCAGUGAUAUUUGAUCAUUGUCUGGAUUUCAAGCUACCAAGUAUUUCGACCUAAGAAUUUGCGGAGGAGAAUGAUCCAGUAAUACAUGAAGAAGAGGACAUUUCUUUUUUCUAGUCUUUGACAGGUAAUCACUAAAGGAUCAGUUCCUCAAUGAUAGUACUAGAUAAACAAGUCACAUCCCUUUACUGUCCAGACUUUGAUUAGUUAUCUUUGCUUUAGUUUCCAUAAAACUAAAUGAGCAGUAAAGAGAGAGAAAAAACAGAAACCCAUUUCUGUAACAUUUUGCAAUCCACUUGACAAAGAUAGCAAUGACCAGAUCAAUGAUCGAGGAAGAUUUUACCUCACAUCCUGCUUAAAAUCCUCAGUGUUUUCAUAGGAAGCAAUCCUCUUGUAUAUACUCUGGUCAACAGUUUAAAAACACCAAUUCAUGAGUGUACAGAUUAUACUCUGACAGUGCAAGAGAAAAUUGCGAUUUGAUGCACAAGACCAAGGUACCAAUUGAAGAAAAAAUACACCACAAAGGAGCAAUACAGUUAACCAUGCUGCAUGUAUGCUAAUGGACAAGAGCGAGACAGUUUUUCUAAUUUGAAAAGCAAGUUCUGGUAGAGGAUGAUGACACUCACUUGUGAUUUUAUCCUUUGCAGGAUUUGUUUCACUAUAGAUGCAUUUUCAUGUCAGAAGGAAAUGAAUGAAUUAAAGUGGAAUUUAAAAUGUCGGUUAAACAUCCAGCCUAUGUGCAUUCGACGACUUUAUGAGUGGAUAGAAUAUCCCAAUUUCUUCCAAAAUCCAUCAACAUCUGCAUAUACGAUUUUGUUGGAGUUUGAAAGGUUAUGCACUUUUUUUUUUCUUCUGAAACGGAAUAAACAGUAAGUAUCACAGUCCGACUAUGGUGAUUUAAAUCAUGCAUCACUACUAAUAUGGCCAUGCAAUAUGUCAAAUAUUAGAUGACUUACCGGUGUCUCAAUCUUCAGAUAGUUGAUAUCAUGUAAUCAUAUUAUAAAACUUUUGGUGAUUAUCCGGAAAAACUUAAUGAUGGUAGAAAUUUGUAUUUUUAAAAGGAAAACUAAAGUUGAAUGCUGUUUUAACUAGUUUAAGAUGAAUUUGUUUGUUAUUUCAUUUAAUCAAGUUCUUUUCAUAAUUAAGCUGGUGAAUGAUUCCAACACAAACAAAAGAUAUUGCAUGGGAUAUUCUUAUUAAAGGCAAGUCGAAGAUAUGAGAAGGAUUAGAAGCUUCUAGAUGAACAAAGUUUAAAAACUAAAAAUUACGACAACUAAUUUUGUAGGUCAGUGAUGAUUAUGGUUAGGUGAAAUAUAAAGAAGGUGAAAAUGCACUUUUAACAAAAGUAAUCAACUUGCAAGACCAUUGGACCUUUAUACACCAAUCACAAGGAUACUCAAGUAUAAGACCUGCUAAUUCCUAUCCGUUAAGACCACAUUCCACCAUGGUGACCAGCUUGUAUAGGCAAGAGAUAUGCCAAAGAGACGAAAUCCUUACUGUCAAUGAUCUCUGCUGAGAAUAACAUCUCAAAAACAAGUUGGAGCAUCACAUUUGCAAAGGCCAUGGACCUUUUUUUUGUGUAAAACCCAGGACCUCCUACUCAUGAUCCCUCCCACCUUAGCACCCAACCCAACCCAACCCAACCCUCCCCCUGGCAAUGGACUGUUUCAAGAAGGCUAUUGGGGGACAAACCUGAGCUAUACUUAAUAUUUUGCAACUUGCUCAAUAGAAAACAUAAAUAAAUAAUUGAUGUCUUCUAAAGCCGAAACAUGAGCCUAGCUAUUCAAAAUCUCUCCUUACCCUUGUCCAGAGAUAUGUUUGUUAAACAAACAAACCAAGCUCGAACCUAAUUUUAAAAUUCCUUAAUCUGUCAUGCCCCUGAGUAUAGAACUUGAUUAACAUGUGUGUUUAGUAUGUUGAAUGGUUAAGCUAUUCUAAGGCUGAACUCCAGGCCGCCUGACAAAAUCUCAGUUAAGCAUAAAUAACAAAUUUAACCAAGAUUUAUAGAUUGUCAAGUUUAUUUGCGAACCAAAAGGUUUUAACAACAUUCUUGCCACUAUUGCUAGCGCGUUCCCACAAUUAGAUUCCCUACUGUAUUUCUGGAAUAUAUUGAAAUUUCAAAGCUAUCUUUGAAAUGUAGCUAGAAUUUGCUUUCAUGGUACUUAAGAGUAAAUUGAAGACAAGGCGUAGUUUACCUGACCAAGACCAAUAAUACCGACAAUCUGAAGUGUCUUCUCCCACUCUGCACAGAAAAUUCAUGUACUCAGUUUUAAGAGAAAAACAAUCAUUAGAGUGUAGUAACAUAAUGUCUGAUGGAUUUAAGAUCAUAGAAUGUUAAUUCAAGUAUAGCUUUGUAUUUGAUGUGCCUGCAAUUUUUCAGUAUUUUUUUUCAUCAAGCACCAUAUACAGCCUAUGGUAUGCGAAAGUAACAAGUGAUUGUUAAGAGCUCUAAACAUAUAUCAAGGGUAAAAGAGCAAAGAUGAUUCCAAAAAGUGAUCUUUACAUCUCCAAAAGAGCGCAGAUUUUAUGUUUGAAUGUGCCAAACGAUAAGAGCCUCCUAUGGCUUCAUCCAACUAAAACCACCCAAGUGAAAAAUCCAAUAAUUAUGAGCUUAGUUUGCUCAUAUUAUUCUUCCCCAUGACCAGGUAAAAAUCAAAUUAAUCUGCCUUUUUUAGUGUACUUUACUUUUACACUCCAACAAGUCACUUCGAUCUUAUUUCCUUUUUCUUUUUGCUAUUCUAAGUCAGUUAAUCUACACUUUGAAAUCUCUGAACUAUCUUUUCCAUGUCUUCCACAUUUGUAGUUAUUUUAAUCUACGGAACUUUUAAUUUACAAUUUAAUGUGCAAAAAACCCUUUUCCAGGAGCUUCAUAAACCAUUUGAUCUUUUCGAAGAUUACAACAUACCAAAUUGCAGGAAGAAAGAGAGAUUAAAAAAAAGCUCACCUAUGGCUGCAUAGGAUACUGCAGCGAAACCCUGUCCACAUAGUAUUUGGAUUAAACAUGGAAUGCUAAAAAGCAAAUAGGACAAAGGAAUAAUGGAAUUCUCAUGUGAUAUUGUGAAGAAGAUAAAUGCAAUUUUCCAUUAAGUUGGUACAUGCGGAAAGAAGCCCAGAGUUUGCUUAGAAAGAAACAAAACCAAAUCAGAUAUUAGCCAUAAAGGAGAAAAAAAGUACAUUCAAGCAUGUCAUUUUGAAAACUAAAAAGGCCACAGCAGAAAAAUGCUUUAAUCCAGGGUCAAGUGAAUCGACUAGAGACGAUUGUUGACUACAAAUGUAAGAAGAAAAUGAUUUGAUGGAUUUGAUCACAUAUAUAUCAAAGUGGACAUUUAACAAAAAGUUUGAAAGGUAUGUAGAGCUUUGAUAUCCAUUGAUAUUGAAUAAAGAAACUGACUAAUUGAGAAAAAGUUGUGAAAAGAGAUUUAACAUGCAAUAGAUGGAGGCAUGGCCCAAUCAUUGAUGGCUCUACCAUGAUCCUUGAUGGUCAUGGAUCCCAAUCUUGGCUCCCAUCCUCUUGCCACCCUCAAAGAAUCGAAAACAUCAAGAAAAGAUGGAUUUCUAAUGAGCUGAAAUCAAUGAAAAAGUACACAAGAGUAAAAGAACUUACCAUUCCAUACCCAAGAAGUCGAAGUGGUGUUGGAUUGAAGUCUUGUAUUAUUGCCUCGGCAUCCUGAUGACACACCAAAUUUCAAUUGUUUACAAACUAAGACUUAAAGUGCAGGAAAGGGCAGGUAGAAGAAAGAAAAGGUCUGCAGGAGAGAAAGAAAUCUAUCUCAUGUGUCUAAAUACAUAGUCUCAAUACGAAACUAAUGCUGCUAGUGAAUCUCAUUUACCCUUUUCAGGUUUGCUUGAAUUGUUGCAACAUAUUUACCUUUGGAAGAAAUUAAUUUUAGAACUACAAAACAGCAGGUAGAAUAUUUUAAAUCAUUACACAGCCACCGUCUGAGCCCUUAUAAUUAUAAAGAAAGCGUAUGAAAGACCUAAUCUUACAUAAAAAGUUAUUCAUAUUUGAAAAACCAAAGACAGAUAAUACCUAGCAGACAAUUAAUAUAAAGAAAGCUCAUAAAACUUGCAGGAGUGCAGCUAUGUACCUCAUUGAGUAUGGUUAGAGCUGUCUCUGGUCUUAAAUCUUUAAUUCGAAGACCUUCUCUAACCCAAGACUGAAACCCGCCUUGGACCACAUAUGAAUUCUGCAUUAUUAACAAUAAGUAUACAGUUAACACCAAAACAGAUGUCAUCCAUGCCCAAAUAUACGGCAACAACUUAGUGUCAUUUAACUAAUUUGACUAGUGUAGCAUUCAACUAAAGAUCUAAGGUAUUUCCCAGACCAUUUUUUAUCUACUAAAGGAUAAUUUGAUUGUUAUCCUUUCAAAACAUAAAUGAAAAAAAAAAAUUAGUUCAGUGCAAGCCUCGAGAUUGUCAAAACUUUAAAAACUUUCCUGAGAUACUUGUAAAGCCUCUCAGGUUCCAGCUCAAAUUUGGAUCACCUUUCCAUAAGCUAGUGUUCAAAUUCAGAAGAUGAAGAUAACUUUUGGAGAACUAGAAAGCUCAUCUCCAAAGGAGAAGCAUGUAUGAUGAGAACUAUGUCUUUCAGGUUUUAUUUGAGCUACUGGCCAUUAAUAAAUAGACUAGGAAUCUGUAUUGAGGAAGUUUAUAAUACUCCUCAAGAUACAUACCUUAACCCCAAGCUUCCUCAAUGCUCUUGCUAUUCCUUUGGAGCGAACACCUUUAGCAUCCAAAACAACAACCUUCGAUCUGUCCUAUAGUUCAUGUCAUACAGUAAUAUCAAGUUUCGCAGAUAAAACAUAAGGUAUUUCAUGUACUUCAAAUAUCCUGCUGCUAAAGAAAAUGUCAUACAUUUUUUGAAAAACUUAGGGGCAAUAAUCCAAAGUCAUAGUUCUACAGAAUUCUAUCAAAAACUAAGGGGCAAUUUUACCAAGUCAAUGUUCUACAGUUCCAUUAAAAAAUUGGUCACCUAUUACCAAAAAUGGAACAAUGUCGUGUUUAAAAUGUUAAAAAAAAUUCAAGGCUACACAUAUUAGCAAAUUAAUGAGGUUAUAGGUGAAACUCACAUACUUGAACAUUCUUUAAGUUCCCAAUAACAGCAGCAAUCAACAAAUCAUCAAGAUUUCUCCCUGCCUUAAGUAACUUUUUCAGAGAGACGUCAACCUGAAAUUCAAGCAAAAAAGUAAAAACACUGUGAACACAGCAUAAUAAACAAGUCAAACUUUAAUAGAAUAUCCUUCAUUCAGUAUAAUUUUUUAAUUGUUGUUCUUCCUUCCCUAAAGAAUGACAAGAAAUUGGUUAAGUCUAUCCUCCAACCUCUGGUAGCACUAUACUGGCAUAUCGAUAUCGGGCUGCUCGUCGAAGAUCAGGAAUACCAUCUCUUUCCCUGAGGUCCUUCAAUAUAGUAAAAGAAGAACUCCAUCAUUCAAAUGGAAAACUUGACUGAAUAUAUCAUAUAAGGAAAUGUAAUGCAAGAUACGGAAAAUCUAAUAUGGGAAAUGAGACAAGCCUACUUUCAAUGGAAGUUUAGAUGUUUUAGAAGAUUAUAUGGAAUACCUCUAUUCAGAAAUAAUAUUAAUUUUAAUGGAAAUCCCGACCACUUAAUAAAGGGCUAGAAAAUUUUAAAGUCACUUGCCUCAGGCCGAAUAUCAAUCAGUACACCAUCUUCAUUCCCUGUCAAGAGCUCCAAAGUCGAUCUGGGAGAUAAAUCUCCAGUGUAUCCACUGUAAUUGUAUACCCAGUAAUAAACCCUGCAAAGAUCUGAUAAGCAAUAUAAUUUUCCAUAAAUUCAAUGAGGGAAAAAUCCCAUUCCCCCUAUACAACAGAAGGAAAUAAAAUCAUGGGAAAGAGGAUGAUUAUACCAUAAAGUGGCCGAUGCUCCAAUAAAGAGAAGAAAUGGGAUGAUUGGAUCAUUGGGGUCCAAGCCAAGUUUCUCUUCCAAUCCUUGCAACGUGCUGUAACCCUGUUCCUCAUAUAUUGUAAAGUUUAGCACUUAUUCAAUUGAUUCAAGGGACAAAAUGAUGUAUGCAAAUUAAACUUUUUUUUUCCAAAUUUAAAUGUCUGGACAGCCCUAAGUGGAGCUGGUAACUCUGUACCAUAAGUAUUCAUCACAUUAACAUUUUACGAAAAUAUAGUUGCUAUUCUUAAAAUUAGUGAAUUAGGAGGAGAACUAUAAGCAUAAAAUGUUUGGCAAACUAUAUGGCAAUUUACAUGUGCUAUUCAAGAGGAGGAAUUUGAACAAACUAACAUUCUAUGAAAAUCUCAUUUCUAAUUUUUGAAUUACGGAAUUAGGAAGAACACUCUAAGCAUCAAAUGCUUAGUAAACCACUACACGUAUUAUGGGUGCUAUUGAAUAGGAGGAAUUUAAACAUACUUGUUGAAAUGCUGAACCAACUGGCCUCAAGAAUUCUGAUAACUUGUUCUCAGAUGCACUGAGUGCGUUCUGGAUUUCUGUGGGAAGCAACUCCUUCACUGUACCAUAGCCAUAUGCAGCAGAUGUAAAACCCUUUGCCAGAGAUUCCUCAACCACAAUUAUUGAUUGCCUCAGCCCAUCAAGAGCAGUAAUCCCAAGUCUGCCUGAGGCUUCCUUUAAGUCACUAGAAAAGGAGGAUAAUUUACUGCCAGCUAAUUCUCCAAUUCUAUCAGUAGAUGACUUCAGCUCUCCAGUGGCAUUAUUAAGUGCUUCAUUAGCUUCUCUAAAAGCAGACUGUAUUGAAGAAAUAACUGUAUCAAUUGAGCUGUUCAGAAAAUUUUGCCCUUCAUUGACUAUAUCACUUAUAGACUUGUUAGUUUCAGCAACAACAUCCACGACACUUGUUUUAAUACUCGACAGGGAAUCCGUAUCCGCAUUAUAUGUAUCAGGUGGUAAUGAAGGAUCAUCUUGAAUGCCAUCCAUGCUCAAAAUUGAGUCUGGAUUAGCUGGCUGAGGUGAAAUAUUAGUUUCAUCAAUCCGAUUCGUGAAAACCAUUAGUUCCUCCUGUUGAGCAUACAUAUCAGAAUUCUCAACAAACUGAAUACUGCCUGCCCUGGUGGCAAAUGAUUCAUUCAUUCCACCUGUUGUGCAACUGCCAUUAGAUAGUAACUCAAAUUGGUGAUCAUUGAGCUCCUUAUGAAAGGAACACCUAGUAAUAGUAUCCACAGAGCCAGA